Long non-coding RNA from Clupea harengus (Atlantic herring), 522 nucleotides. The record is from Ensembl. NCBI's taxonomy places the organism in Eukaryota, Metazoa, Chordata, Actinopteri, Clupeiformes, Clupeidae.
GGACACCAAUGAGUUCCUCUCGGAGUUUCUUCUGGGCCUCAAGGACAUUGGGCACACCCUCCAGAUGGGUGAUGUGUCCCAUCGGUGCCCAGUGGACACUCUGCUCUCCUUCCAGCUCCAGCACAUAAGAUCUGGCUGGAGGCAGACAUUAUUCCUGAGUCAGGUUGAAUACAGCUGUGAGCGGUGUGGGGGUCAGGUGUCGAGCCUGAGGUGUGGUUUCCAUACGCUGCCUUGGGUUCUCAUUUUACACCUGAAGAGGUUUUGCCCCUUUACCCUCACCAAAAGCAUGGCACCGCUUCAGCUGGAGGCAGAGCUCCAGAUCAAACAAAGCACUGCUCUGUCAGUGCUCCCAGAACUGACCCAAUCCUAGUGUGCGCGUACCAUUGUCUCCCGAGACUGACAGAUGCCAGACAGCCUGACCUGCACCUCCCCAGAAUUGGAACCACGCGGCGACACGGACUGCAACAACUGUGACUGGUCCACCCCCGAUGUGUGUGGGUGUGUUAAUAAACAUCACGCUGC